RNAcentral lists this transfer RNA (64 nucleotides) under Agrilinae sp. 1 ACP-2013. RNAcentral's name for it is "tRNA-Phe". The record is from RNAcentral. Lineage: Eukaryota; Metazoa; Arthropoda; Insecta; Coleoptera; Buprestidae.
UUUAAGUAGCUUAAAUUUAGAGCAUAGUAUUGAAGAUACUAGUGUGGUGUUUACCCUUAAAUAU